This 253-nucleotide ribosomal RNA is filed under the name uncultured bacterium. Its description in RNAcentral is "partial 16S ribosomal RNA". It matches the Rfam family "Bacterial small subunit ribosomal RNA", at positions 524 to 776 of the family's 1533-position model. The record is from RNAcentral.
UACAGAGGUCUCGAGCGUUGUUCGGAUUCAUUGGGCGUAAAGGGUGCGUAGGUGGCGCUGUAAGUCAUGUGUGAAAUUUCGGAGCUUAACUCCGAAACUGCAUUUGAUACUGCGGUGCUUGAGGACUGGAGAGGAGACUGGAAUUUACGGUGUAGCAGUGAAAUGCGUAGAGAUCGUAAGGAAGACCAGUGGCGAAGGCGGGUCUCUGGACAGUUCCUGACAGUGAGGCACGAAGGCCAGGGGAGCAAACGGG